UACGAAGGGUGCAAACGUUGCUCGGAAUUAUUGGGCGUAAAGGGCGCGUAGGCGGUGCGGUAAGUCACCUGUGAAACCUCUGGGCUUAACUCAGAGCCUGCAGGCGAAACUGCCGUGCUUGAGUGUGGGAGAGGUGCGUGGAAUUCCCGGUGUAGCGGUGAAAUGCGUAGAUAUCAGGAGGAACACCGGUGGCGAAGGCGGGUCUCUGGGCCGAUACUGACGCUGAGGAGCGAAAGCGUGGGGAGCGAACAGG
RNAcentral lists this ribosomal RNA (253 nucleotides) under uncultured bacterium. RNAcentral's name for it is "partial 16S ribosomal RNA". It matches the Rfam family "Bacterial small subunit ribosomal RNA", at positions 524 to 776 of the family's 1533-position model. The record is from RNAcentral.